GGAAACAGCACCUGGAAGGGGAAAGCUACAAAUAUGUGCCAGUGGGGAAAGAAAACAACGAAAAAAGCCCCUUUAAUGUCAAGCAAUAAACAUUGUCUAUGGGGUAGUAUAGAAUGAUUUGGUAGCACUUGCAACAGCCAUCAUUUCUGAGAUUGAAGAGAUCCAUUGUUUGUUUUGUGUCAGUGUGAUCAAUGGUUUGUUUUUACAUUACAUCAACACAGUUUUUCUUCAAUAUGUUGCAGCACUGAAUCAGCUUGUUACAGUGCCUGAGCACAAUUCUGAAGAGAAAAAUGGCUGUUGGCCCAGCAGCAGGAACUAAUACUUUAUUUGUAUAUGACAUCAAUUAUUACAGUGGGUAGGUACCAUGAAAACAUAUUCUCCAGAAUCUAGCUGCUACCCUCUGCUUUGAGAGAGAUGUGGAACAGAGAAAAAACUCUCCUGGUAGCUGUCCCAAAUGAGGAGUUCUCUCUUUUUGCUACAUGCAAAUUGUUUCAGGGUUUUUUAUUGAAAUAAUGUAAAGGGUAAAGUCAACAGCAAAUGGAGCCUGAGCAGAGGAAAGAUCCUAUCAGAGGAUCAUAGAAAGCCAGAAUUUGAAAAGGACCUUAGACUGAAAAGGGCAUUUGAUCCAGCCCUAUUAAAAUCAAGGCCAAAUUAGAUAAUUGUCUUAAUUUGCAGCCAGUGCCAUCAUGUUGCUAUAAACCCAUCUAGUAGUUGAGAUCAAGGAAAAUACUGCUAGGUGGACAUCACACUGUGGAGGAGAACCCAAGCUGAAGCUGCUGCUUGUUGGUACACAGCUGCUGGAUGGCCCAUAGGCUCCAUACCUCCCUGAAGCAGUGCCUGGGGAGAGUGUCAGUUAGUACCUGUGUGACCAUAAGGAUUUUUCAGACAAACCCCACCCCUUGCUUGGUUCACUCAGUCAGUUGACCUUUGCAGUGUCAUACUGCCACAUGUUCCUUUUUCCUUGUGACACCAGCCAGUGUUACUCUGUGGAGAAGUAGCUCCCAGUGCAGCUCUUCAGUUGCUGUAAAACAUGGCAGUAGGCAAGGCCGGAGCACAGUGGUCACAGUACUUUGUUUCUCAAAGAGCCACGAACACCUGUAUCCCUGGGAAAGAACUCUAAGAAGAUUGCGCAUAAGGAAAAGUUUCUUGUGCUCUACCAUCAGAUGUUCCAGACUGUUCCCUGAAACAGUAUGUUGAGUAUUUUGAUAUCUUUUUAGAUUCUAAAUUGUUGUGAAUUAAACUUAUUUUCUUUCCUUUUGGUUGUUUCUGGGAAAUCUUCCUAAGCCUUUCAAUUCAUACUAUGCUGCAGAUGCCUUUUGCCUAAAUAUGAUCUUAUCUGCAGGAAAUUGCAAUUAUGUGUGAACAGAGGAUUGGACUUACGGUUUAUUAAACGUACAGAACUAGUUAAAGCAAUCUGGAAAUGAAUUUUAUAGGUAUGACUGUACCUUAUGAAAUAAUGUAUUCUUACAGAUUAAUUUAGGUACAUUGUCUUGUGGAAACCCCCCCCCUUGUUC
This 1514-nucleotide long non-coding RNA is filed under the name Phasianus colchicus (ring-necked pheasant). RNAcentral's name for it is "lncRNA (ENSPCLG00000001412.1)". The record is from RNAcentral. Lineage: Eukaryota; Metazoa; Chordata; Aves; Galliformes; Phasianidae.